CUUUUUUUCUGGAGACUGUAUCAAAAUCACUACAAGCUUUGUGUGAGGCAACUGGACCUGCCAUGCUGACGCAGCCGGGAAGCGUGGUGUCACCGUCCUCUCAUCUAGCUGGAAAGCGGUCGGACUGCAGGACGCUAUCUAAAGUCAUUUCUGUGAACCCUGUCCAGAAAGAAAGCUCUUUGUUCCCGCAAAAUCAUUUUCAUCACUGCUUCAAAUACUUCAUACUUCAAUAACUAGCUUCUCAGACCUCCAAAUGACAGGUGAUACUACAUCAUGU
Molecule: long non-coding RNA, 277 nt
Organism: Dromaius novaehollandiae (emu)
Lineage: Eukaryota; Metazoa; Chordata; Aves; Casuariiformes; Dromaiidae
Exons: 3
Source: RefSeq, a predicted model, not a curated record